AUGAACGCUAGCGACAGGCUUAACACAUGCAAGUCGAGGGGCAUCAUGAGGUAGCAAUACCUGAUGGCGACCGGCGCACGGGUGAGUAACGCGUAUGCAACCUGCCCGAUACCGGGGUAUAGCCCAUGGAAACGUGGAUUAACACCCCAUAGUACUUUUAUCCUGCAUGGGAUGUGAGUUAAAUGUUUAAGGUAUCGGAUGGGCAUGCGUCCUAUUAGUUAGUUGGCGGGGUAACAGCCCACCAAGACGAUGAUAGGUAGGGGUUCUGAGAGGAAGGUCCCCCACAUUGGAACUGAGACACGGUCCAAACUCCUACGGGAGGCAGCAGUGAGGAAUAUUGGUCAAUGGACGAGAGUCUGAACCAGCCAAGUCGCGUGAGGGAAGACUGCCCUAUGGGUUGUAAACCUCUUUUAUAAGGGAAGAAUAAGUUCUACGUGUAGAAUGAUGCCUGUACCUUAUGAAUAAGCAUCGGCUAACUCCGUGCCAGCAGCCGCGGGAAUACGGAGGAUGCGAGCGUUAUCCGGAUUUAUUGGGUUUAAAGGGUGCGUAGGCGGUUUAUUAAGUUAGUGGUUAAAUAUUUGAGCUAAACUCAAUUGUGCCAUUAAUACUGGUAAACUGGAGUACAGACGAGGUAGGCGGAAUAAGUUAAGUAGCGGUGAAAUGCAUAGAUAUAACUUAGAACUCCGAUAGCGAAGGCAGCUUACCAGACUGUAACUGACGCUGAUGCACGAGAGCGUGGGUAGCGAACAGGAUUAGAUACCCUGGUAGUCCACGCCGUAAACGAUGCUCACUGGUUCUGUGCGAUAUAUUGUACGGGAUUAAGCGAAAGUAUUAAGUGAGCCACCUGGGGAGUACGUCGGCAACGAUGAAACUCAAAGGAAUUGACGGGGGCCCGCACAAGCGGAGGAACAUGUGGUUUAAUUCGAUGAUACGCGAGGAACCUUACCUGGGUUUAAAUGGGAAAUGUCGUAUUUGGAAACAGAUAUUCUCUUCGGAGCGUUUUUCAAGGUGCUGCAUGGUUGUCGUCAGCUCGUGCCGUGAGGUGUC
Molecule: ribosomal RNA, 1047 nt
Filed under: human gut metagenome
Description: bacterial SSU rRNA
Rfam family: Bacterial small subunit ribosomal RNA
Source: RNAcentral